This 253-nucleotide ribosomal RNA is filed under the name uncultured bacterium. RNAcentral's name for it is "partial 16S ribosomal RNA". It matches the Rfam family "Bacterial small subunit ribosomal RNA", at positions 524 to 776 of the family's 1533-position model. The record is from RNAcentral.
UACGGAGGGGGCUAGCGUUGUUCGGAAUUACUGGGCGUAAAGCGCACGUAGGCGGCUUUGUAAGUUAGAGGUGAAAUCCCGGGGCUCAACCCCGGAACUGCCUUUAAGACUGCAUCGCUUGAAUCCAGGAGAGGUGAGUGGAAUUCCGAGUGUAGAGGUGAAAUUCGUAGAUAUUCGGAAGAACACCAGUGGCGAAGGCGGCUCACUGGACUGGUAUUGACGCUGAGGUGCGAAAGCGUGGGUAGCGAACAGG